RNAcentral lists this long non-coding RNA (577 nucleotides) under Pongo abelii (Sumatran orangutan). RNAcentral's name for it is "lincRNA". Lineage: Eukaryota; Metazoa; Chordata; Mammalia; Primates; Hominidae. The record is from RNAcentral.
AUUUAUAGCUCGUAUUUAAAGAGCCCUUGGGAGUCUCCCCGGCUCGGCAGGGCGGCGGCGACGGCGGUGGCUGCGGAGCUGCAGUUAGCGCUGCGCGCGUGAGGUGGCGGGGCGGCAGCCGCGCAUCCCGGCCGUGUGGCGUGUUGGGCGUGGGGGAGCCUUCUUCCACGUUCCAGGGUGGCUUUUCCCCCACGUCCUCGCUCGAUUUCUAGAAAGGGGGAGGAAACGCUGCAGCUUCUACAGUACUUUUGCUUAAGACAAAGCCAAGGAUCAGGAAUCUCAAAAGAGCUGGGGGCAGAAGGUUUGAGCCGACCCCACCCCGGCUCUCCAUCUGAGCCCCGAGCGGCGCCGUUUCCUGAUGUUGGCUGUGCGUAGAGGCGGCCUUCCUGGGGGGAGGGGAGAACAAUGCCUCCUGAAAAGCCAAAAGUCGUGGAAUUUGGGGGCGGGGCUCUUGGGCCAAUUAAAGUGUAUUCGUGGAAAAUAAAUCGCAAGAUAGUGGCAGUGAUUAUCUUGACGUUCAAUCGAUUGAUGUUCUGACUUCCCAGCCCGCGAACUGCACACUGCAGCGCGAAAGCAG